GGCCCGCACAAGCGGCGGAGCAUGCGGCUUAAUUCGAUGCAACGCGAAGAACCUUACCUAGGCUUGACAGUUGGGGAAAACUGGCAGAGAUGCCAGGUCCGUAAGGGCCCCAAAACAGGUGGUGCAUGGCUGUCGUCAGCUCGUGUCGUGAGAUGUUGGGUUAAGUCCCGCAACGAGCGCAACCCUCGUCGUAUGUUGCCAGCGGAUAAUGCCGGGGACUCAUACGAGACUGCCGGGGUCAACUCGGAGGAAGGUGGGGACGACGUCAAGUCAUCAUGCCCCUUAUGUCUAGGGCUGCACGCAUGCUACAAUGGCCGGUACAGAGGGCUGCGAAACCGCAAGGUAGAGCGAAUCCCAAAAAGCCGGUCUCAGUUCGGAUUGGGGUCUGCAACUCGACCCCAUGAAGUCGGAGUCGCUAGUAAUCGCAGAUCAGCAACGCUGCGGUGAAUACGUUCCCGGGCCUUGUACACACC
RNAcentral lists this ribosomal RNA (473 nucleotides) under uncultured Actinomycetes bacterium. RNAcentral describes it as "bacterial SSU rRNA". It matches the Rfam family "Bacterial small subunit ribosomal RNA", at positions 918 to 1391 of the family's 1533-position model. The record is from RNAcentral. Lineage: Bacteria; Bacillati; Actinomycetota; Actinomycetes.